AUGAACGCUGGCGGCGUGCCUAAUACAUGCAAGUCGAGCGAACAGACGAGGAGCUUGCUCCUCUGAUGUUAGCGGCGGACGGGUGAGUAACACGUGGAUAACCUACCUAUAAGACUGGGAUAACUUCGGGAAACCGGAGCUAAUACCGGAUAACAUGUUGAACCGCAUGGUUCAACAGUGAAAGACGGUCUUGCUGUCACUUAUAGAUGGAUCCGCGCCGCAUUAGCUAGUUGGUAAGGUAACGGCUUACCAAGGCAACGAUGCGUAGCCGACCUGAGAGGGUGAUCGGCCACACUGGAACUGAGACACGGUCCAGACUCCUACGGGAGGCAGCAGUAGGGAAUCUUCCGCAAUGGGCGAAAGCCUGACGGAGCAACGCCGCGUGAGUGAAGAAGGUCUUCGGAUCGUAAAACUCUGUUAUUAGGGAAGAACAAAUGUGUAAGUAACUAUGCACGUCUUGACGGUACCUAAUCAGAAAACCACGGCUAACUACGU
This 495-nucleotide ribosomal RNA is filed under the name uncultured bacterium. RNAcentral's name for it is "partial 16S ribosomal RNA". It matches the Rfam family "Bacterial small subunit ribosomal RNA", at positions 29 to 506 of the family's 1533-position model. The record is from RNAcentral.